AAACACGACAAUAUCCUAUACCUUGUCUUCACUGUAGAUGCGCCUACGUAAAUUCCCAACGAGCUGUCCUUUGACACAUAGGAAACGGUGCACGUUAGCAAAUCGCGUGCACAUUAGAAAGGAAAGAAAUAAGGAAAAAUAAGAAGAUUUCCGUUCGUUGUCAGAAUCGGAACCGUCUCUUUCCAUCUCCGAUCGAUCACUCCCCUUAACAAGAGCAUAUUUCGAGGAAGAGAGGUCAAGUAAUAUGCCUGAAAGAAAGAGGAAAGCUCCUACAUUGGUUGAUCUUUGUGUUAAUGUAGCAAUAAGUCAUGUGAGGUACUUAGGAGACGUUGGGGAAACAGAUUUACUUCUCCUUGAUCGCAUUUUACCACAUUGUACAUUGGACCAGUUGAUGCAUGUAGAGAAAAGCACAGUAGGGCGAGAUCUUAGCCCAGUAACUGAUAAGCUAUGGAAGAGAUUCUAUGAGCUGCAGUUUGGCGAGGCAAAUGCUAAUCUUGCAAUAGAGAGGAUGAGCAGGUGCAAAGCUUCCUUUCGCUGGAGAGACCUAUAUGAGCUCAUGUAAUGAAACAUCAUUUCCUUACAAAAUAUUCGAUCUAAGAGGGGUGAAAUUUUUGUAGGCAAAACUGAAGGUUAUUGCUGAGCAGGAGGAUGAAGCAGUUGCUCGACUUCGGCAAUCAUACAAAAAGGAAGAUACUAGUAUGUUCUUCUUUUACUUGGCAUAUUUAUGUUUCAUUGCAUAUUGUUAUGAUUUGUAAAGCAUAUUUCUAAAAUUUACUUUGUAUUCUUCCUCGUUACUUAUGAUACUUUCACAUAUAUGAUUUAUAUUGUGGAGUCAUUAAAGGCCAUCAAGUUUUUAGCAGCCACUAUUAGCAACUCUAAUGUCGUAAAUGAGAUUAGGUGUGAACUCUGGCGUAGCAUUAGCUGCUAUGAUUUAUAAAUAAUCAAAAUUCUUAACCCAUGUUCAACUUUUGUAGAAAAACAAAGUAAGCAAAUUCGUCUUUGCACAAAGGUUCCACCUUCAGGCAGUAAAAGAAACUUUUAUGGAGGUAAUCUUUCCCUGUUCUCUUCUAAUUUAACUUGCAGCCCUUUUGCAGAGGCGCUGAAACUGUAGACGAUGUAUUACAAAUUUGUAUGCUUUGUCGGUAUCACUUUGAAUAUUUGUCUUAAGGAAGUGGACCUGGAUACAAUCUUUCCAAUGUGAAGAGCAACUUGAUGAAGAAAUCAAAAAUAGAAUUUCUUAAGAGGUAACAUUUCUUAUGCAUGCUAAUUUUAGGAAAUCAUGAAACUUUGUGUUUUCUAAUUUUAUGAUGAUGAUAAUAAAUGCUGCUAAUUCUUAUUCUUCCAUAUAUAGCAGUGGAUUAGUAAGCUAUAACACGUAACAAGUUAGAUAGAGACUAAGAAAAAAAUCAAUUCUUUCACAUUUUAAAAAAAAGAAAAGAAAAGAAAAAGUGUCUUUUAAUAUUGAAGUAUACCUUUAUACUUUGUAAUGUUUUUGAAGUAACUUAAAUUUGAACCAUUUAUGUAUGUCUGGCUGCAGCAAGUUAUCAUGUAAUCUGUUUUCUCAUUUAAAGAAAGAAGAAAGAAAAGAAAGAAACUUUGAAGCCUUUUGUACAUUUGUGUUUUUACUGGGGCCUUGGUUUACUGGCCAAAGCAUUUCACAUUUUUUAGAUGAGUUAAACCAAAAAUAAUUGUUCAAUUUUUUAUUUUUUUUUAAAUUCUUGCUUUAUUGCUUUUGACCAGCCGAGAAGUGAAAAAUAUUGCAGCCAUGAAGAAAAUUUCGGUGCGAAGAAAUAAUAGUGCCUCUACUGUGACAAAGACUGGGGGCUUUCCUGGAAAUAAUUCCGCAUCAUCUUCUAGACAUACAAAGUCAUUCGACAGGAGAUUCUAGAAGCAUGUGAUCUGAGGCUUUGCAUUGUCAACAAUGGGAGCAAAACAAAAUGAUUUAUUUACCUGAACUUUGAAACAUUUAAAGUUUCAAUUUGAAUACGUAAAUGCACAAGCUGAUCUCCCUCUGCGUCUGCAUCCACAUUACAACCUUCCAUUUUGAGAGAGCAAUAUGUCAGACUUGUAAUAUAUUCUUUUUACUCGAGUAUUUGUCACAGUAAUGACACAUUCAUAUGAAUGGUUAUAAUUGUUGUAUUUUGAUGCUCUCUUUUAAGGUACAAUUUGAACUCCCGCAUUAUCAUGCUUUGUAAUCUUCAACUAAGGUUCUAAUGACUUACAAGGGAGAGUACACCCUUGGCCUCAUUUCCAAUUCUUUCUUUACGAGGCCAUAAACGUGUAAUUUUUGGUAGCAAAUUGUAAUUGGACAGCCCACUUGGUAGCAAAGAAAACCUUAAUCA
RNAcentral lists this unclassified non-coding RNA (2342 nucleotides) under Hevea brasiliensis (rubber tree). The record is from RNAcentral. Lineage: Eukaryota; Viridiplantae; Streptophyta; Magnoliopsida; Malpighiales; Euphorbiaceae.